ACCUGUGGGCUGUUAGGAUGAGGGAACCUGGAAACGGCCUUUCGCUGUCAGAUUUCAGACAUUCGUGUUAACCCAAGGUUUCCCCGAAGGCUGCAGAACAAAUUCCUUCUGUGCAGAAAAGUGCUCGGGCUGCAAAGGAAAGUGCUAAUCCAGAAGUUCAAAGCUUGUGUGAGGAAAUAUAAUGCUUCCUCCAGAGACUUUUCAGGGGAGAGUGGUUGACCACAAGAAAAUAAAGGCUCCUGCAGCUGAUCAUAAGCCUGUGCGAGAGGGCUGUUGAGGAGGCACCUAGGAAUGACUGCCAUUCCAGUUUAUGACUCAGCAGGGAGGGAGCAGCCCAGGCCAGCUUUUGGGAGAUGCCUGGGCUGUCUGCCGCCUCUCAGACCACGGGAAUCCUGCAGGGAAACAAAGGGGAGACAGAGGAGUCCGGGGACUGUGGGAAUUCAAGGCACUGUGGAUCCUGAUGAUGGCUGGAUUGACACAAGUGCCGUGUAGGCGUGAUGGUGCCCGCUGGGAGCAGAGACCUGAGCUCUAGUCCAACAGUGCUGUGUCAUGUAAAGAAUAGGAUGAACCCUACCUACAUGCUGGAUAUGUGUUUUCUAACCUGCUAAAACCUUCUGUUUGUAGAAGUUUCCCAACAAACUUUGACAUGUCUACAUGGGACAGAUGAAUCCAGCCCUUGGCUGUUUGAGAAGUAUGGUAAUACUGUUUAGGAAUGUUUUGAGUUCACUUUUUUUGGCCUCAAAAAGGUGGUUGUGUUGAAAUGGAACAUUUUCUUAGGAAUGUAAAGGUCCCGGUGAAGCUUUCUUCAUGGAAGGUUUUUCCAGCUGAAUUUCACAGCACGGUGGAAGUACAAGAUUUCUCCCCAAGAACAGACAUUUCCUGCCUGUCAGGGAUCUCAGUCAUUUUCUGUGUAAGUCAUCCCUGCUCAGGCUCUUCCUCUGCCUAAUUCAGUGAAUUACUUGCAAUUGAAUCUCUUGUGACUCGGGUGAAAGUAGAACCCAUGUUCACUGUUCAAUGGGAUGGUCUCUGAGGAUGGUUCACAGCACAGCCUCAUCAUUGCCAACAUGAGUCACGUUGCCCUUCCUAAUGCCACAGAGACAGAAGAGUGCCAGCAGCCAGGAAUCAGGAAGAAGGAAGUACAGAAUGGUGGCAAAAGUUUUGUCUUCUCGAGGCCUGUAUCCUCAAGGAGAACAAGGAGCAGGGUUUAUCUCUUUACCUGGUCACUGCAGAGCUACCAGAGUUGCAGGGCAUGUGUUUGUGUGUGCAUGUGUGUGUCUGCAGUGCAGACAGUUGUUACGUGCUGUCCUAAUUUCAACUUAAAUUUCCAGGCGGAUGGGUCUUUACAUGUCUCAUAAGUCUUUCAGAUGAAGAAGACAUCUUAAAAAUAAGGCUCCAGGGAACAGAAUGUGUUUUCUGAGAGACCUCAAAUAUUUUGGUGCUAAGGUGACGGGUGUCCUGUGCAUGUUCGGGGGAUCUUCUCCAGUACCACAGUGGAAGACUCACCAGGCAGCAUUUGCCUCACUUCCCAAAUUACUGCCCUUCUCAAGUAGCAGAGCUGUUGCCCUGAAGCACAUGGACUAGGGAGAAAGAGGCUUCCCUUACAUCCUGUGUUUUUCCAGGACUUCUUGCUCCAGUCUGUGCUCCCUGGGGUCAAAUCUUCAUUGGCAUUACAACACCUAGCAGUUAGGUACUGUUUCAUGAUGUAACCAAAUCCCUGUUGGAGCAGAAGCUUUAACCCCCCCGCUUCGGGGAGUGUGGGAGUAUUGGAGGAAUCUUCAAAUUUCUGCUCCGUUGUAGGAAUUAUGUACUAUGAGGCCAUAGAGGCCACUGGUUGGCAUCCUCCAUGGAGAGAUGAAUUCAUGAUCCCACCAUUGUUUUUCUCUUGAGACUGGGUGCUUACACCUCUCAUACCUCCUUCUAGCAGCUGGCCAGGUUUUAGUUUAUGCACACUGUUUUGUGUUGAAAGAAAUGGACCAUAUGACUGAGAAAGGCAUCCUUGACUAUUUUAAAUGCCAUAUUACUUCAGUCACAACCAGCCCUCUGAGCAGCUCCCAGUUUGUGGACAGCACAGGGUUCAAGCAGUCAAAUGAAAUGCAAUAGUCCACCAUGUGAGAAGCCGAGAAGGAGCUCUGAGGGUAUUAAUGAUGUCUCAGUGGUGGAUUUAGGCACCUAAAAACCAGCAGGGCCAUUGGCCAUAGGAGCUAAAACUCAAGCAUUCUUCAGGGCUGCAUUCAUCAGGACUGUGACCAGCCAUCCUGGCUUUGGAGCUGGAUCUUGGGGGUCAGCUCUUCUGGUCAGAGCCACACACAGUGUCAAAAGUAUUAUUUUUUCCCCAGUUAGGCAAGCUGCCCAGACUGCGCCCUCAUUUAUCCCGUAAUAACCUUGCAACAUUAGCAAGUGUCUCCAUGGGGAUCUGAGGACAUUUAGCACCUCUCAGAGGGGACUGAGACUUUGCCAGGCCUGGCCCUAAAGCUUUAUUUUUCUACCAGAAACCCUUUUUGCAAACGGUUUGCGGAAGCUGUCAGUAACCCUGAUGGGCUGAAGGUUGUUAGCGAUUUGGUUUAACAGCUCCUUGUGGUUAUUUUUUUCCUCUGCCCCUUAAUUGAAGUGGAAAACAGAAAUUCCUGUCAGCAUGUGUGCAUCUGCUUCUGAAAUCUGCCAACAACAUCACAUGGCAUUCAUCAUGUCUUGCAGACCGGCGGAUCCCUGAAGCCUUUCCCAGAAGCUCUUUUUGGUGAAGGAUGGUACAGGCACUUCUGCAAGUCCCCCUCCUUACAAAGAUCUACAGGACGCUGUGGUAGCAAUUAGGAAAGAAAUUGUGGGAAGAAAGAUCUUCUGAGGUCACAGCAGGAUUUAUAAGGGUAUUUUUUUCCCAGGCUCAAAAUAGAUAAUUUCUAUAAACUCUGCAAAACAACUAAUGUGAGGUCUUGUGACUAUUGGAUAGCUCUCAGGAGAUGUCUGUCUUUGCCAUGAACCUGCUGAAUGGUCUUCAGUGACUCAUUUUGCAUCCCUGGGCCUCCGUUUCACCAUCUAUAAAUUAAGGGUAAUGGUAACGAUUUCCUUUCCAGUAUUUUGAGAAGCAUUUGCAAUACAAUUCAAUACACAAGACCAUUGGCAACUGCUGUGAUCCUCUCCCCUCUCCAAAUGCAUAACUGCGUGCUUUUCAUUUAAAGUGCCUGCACCAAAGUGUGGAAAACAAUAUGGUCUGUGUAGUUUUUUUCAGAGGGGAAAGAGGGGGAAGAAAUAAGAAAAUGAAAGAGAGCUCCAAGAGAUGAUAUUUGGAGUUGCCCAGCUGUGUUUCUAAUGUUGUGUCUCAGAUGCUGGUCAGGUUCCAGAUGCUGAAGUUCCUUCCAACCCUAUCUGGAAGGGAGAAAAGCCACUGUCAAUAAACACAUUUGGGGUACUUUUCUCUUAA
This is a long non-coding RNA of Harpia harpyja (harpy eagle), 3415 nucleotides long. RefSeq lists it as uncharacterized. The transcript is spliced from 4 exons. The record is from RefSeq and is a predicted model, not a curated record. NCBI's taxonomy places the organism in Eukaryota, Metazoa, Chordata, Aves, Accipitriformes, Accipitridae.